This 526-nucleotide long non-coding RNA is filed under the name Phasianus colchicus (ring-necked pheasant). RNAcentral's name for it is "lncRNA (ENSPCLG00000017717.1)". Lineage: Eukaryota; Metazoa; Chordata; Aves; Galliformes; Phasianidae. The record is from RNAcentral.
GGGGAAAUAAGGGGGUUAUAGGGUAAUGGGGGGGUAAUGGGGGAAACGGGGUUAUGGGGGAAAUGGGGUUAUGGGGAGGUUAUGGGGCGGACGUGGGGGUUAUGAGGGGAAAUGGGGUUAUAUGGACCAUUUUGGGAUCCUUGAGGCCAUUUUGGGGCCAUUUGGGGUCAUUUUGGUGCAGUUCUGGUCACUCACCUGCUUGUUGCAGUGCUCAGAUUCCUCAAAACCCCAUUUCUGAAAUCCCACCUCCCAUUCUGGGGCCAUUUUGGAGCCAUCUGGGGCCAUUUUGGUGCCGUUUGGUGCCAUUUGGUGCCGUUUGGUGCCAUUUUGGGCCAUUUUGGUGCCAUUUUGGGCCAUUUUGGGGCCAUUUUGGUGCCAUUUUGGUGCCAUUUUGGUGCCAUUUUGGGCCAUUUCCGUGCCAUUUUGGGCCAUUUUGGUGCCAUUUUGGGGCCGUUUGGUCGCUCACCUGCUUGCUGUAAUGCUCCGAAUCCUCUAAACCCCAUUUCUCAAAUCCCACCUCCCAUUU